GCUGUUUUACUCUUGAAAUGAUUUGCAAAUAUGAAUACAUAAAUUGUGCACGUAUAUAAAAUGACACUCUAUUCUUCAACAUAAUGGAAUGAAAAAAAAUAUCAUACCCUGAACUUACAACCUUCAUUUUUUUCUACAGUGAACACAAGUAAUAAUUAAUGGAAAGAAUACAUUUUUUUAAGAACGUUCAAAAUGCAAUACAAAUAACUUGCAGUUAAUAAUCAAAGUACUUGAAAGCACUGAACAGUAAAGAUUGCUUCAAUUUAUCAGUGGGAAGUAAAAUUAAAUAUGGCAUUGGUUGUUGUUGAUUUAACAGCUAUUCUAGACAAAGGAAGAUAACUCAAAUUUAUAAAGAUGAGGUUAACAAUGACAUAAUUUAUAUUUCUAGAACAGAUAUUUGAAUCCUGCAGCUUGCAAAAGUUAUGUAAUUUUCUUGACAAGUGAAACAUCAUUUUGUGCCUUGAAUAUCUGAGCAUAUAUUAAAAUCGAAAAAUUUCUGAAAAUGUUCAUGCAAAGUAUGUAUAGAAUGUUAUGGUCAAUGCACUAUAUUUUGUGUAUCAAAAAGGUAGCCUUGGAACAUUUAGAUAUCAAGUCAGACCCAUAACGUUUUGAUUGCAUUUCAUGCAAUCUUUACUUAUAAAAUGAAAUUAAUACCUGGUUCCUGUUUACAUAGUUUGAUUUUUAUUUACACUAAACAGGAAAGUAUUAUGUUUGCUCAGUUCAUUAUUUACAUUAAAAACAUGAAAAAUUGUAUCAAUUUACCAUAUUCAAUUUCAACAAAAAUUCCCUUCAUAUUUAUGUAAAUUUAAGAUAAAUAUGAAAAUCAGGUAUAAUUUACAAAAAAAGAUGUGGUAUGAUGCAAAUGAGACAACAAUCAGAUAAAAAAACAAAUUGAAGUAGAUUUAAGCAACUACAGAAAACUGUACUGGCUUCAACAAAGAGCAAAACUAUAAUGUAUUGUACCAGUAAGCAAUGAAAGGAGGGACAUGUAUGAUGUUGAAUGAUUCAAAUGAAAAAAAACCCAUCUUGAUUUAUGUACAUUACAACACACUAAUAUCAAAUUUCAGACAGCAACAACUGACAACCUCUAAAUGAGAAGUUACUAACUUGGGACAGGCAGAGUUGAGCAUGAUUGUGAGAGCUAAAUUCUCCCAUAACCUGAGAAAAUGGUGUCACCGUACAAGAUAAGAACAAACCAUCAUUUAAAAAUCAGUUGAAAAUGGCUUGCCUUAUCGAUGUAAAGCAAUUGAUAUAAAGCGGUGUUCUCACAGUGACUGACAGCUACAGGUAGUUCAUUAACUACAACUCAUAUAUAAACUAUGUUGAUAAUACCAGACCAAAAUAUCAUUCACAGCAUAGUAUAUGUCAAUAUCUUGCAUAAACCCAAUGACAUUACAAUGUUUCCAUGGUGACUUAAACAAUCAUUUAAGAAGAUGAGGAAAACCUGAUUAUAUAUCUGAAAUAAGUAAACAACUUAAGGGCAGGAGCAUUGUUUGUUUUUAUUUAUUUUACUACUUGAACACUUAAAAAAGACCAGAACACUCAAUAGUUUAUCAGAUAAAUGAUUGUUUUAAAUUUAUACACUUGUGUCUUCAAACUGAUGAAUAAAUGUUCAGAAAAAAAGUUUUAACAGAGAUAUUUAAUGAAGUUUUAUCUGCAUUGAAAACGAAAGACAAUCACUGUGACUUUGAGUAGAUGAGUUUAAUAUGAUAAACAUCUUUAUAAUAGUUUUUAAUUGGAUAUUUACUGUACUUGUACUUUUUUUCGAGGGUACCUAUUUUCGCUAAUUGUGUAUUCCAAACACAUUCGUGAGUAUUUAUCUUUGGGAUAUUAUAAUUAUUGCCUUUCAGGUGAAAGGUUUGAGUUAGAUUCACGUGUAUUUAUUUUCGUGAUAAUAAACCAACCGUGAACUUCGUGAAAAUAAAUACACCGUGAAAAUAAGUACAAUUACAGUAUAUCAUAGAUAAUUGCAAUCUAAAUCUUCAGUGGAAUGAAAUGAAAAGGUAAAAUGGAAAAGAAAGGACAUGGGGUAUCCAUCCAUGACAUAAAAUACAAAUAUAGUCUACUGGCACCAACAAAGUAUACUGGCAAAAAUGAUUGUAUAUUUUAACAUAAAAUAUCUUAGUUUUAAACUCAUUUUUAGUUUUAACUAUGUGUUAACUAGAACAAUACACUUGAUAAUGGUCAAAAGUAAUGUUUGAUCUACAAAAAACUUUUCCUAAAUUAUCUUUAAAUCCAGUUUGCAUAUGAAUGAGCUCUGGAAAAUCCAUUUAUUCAUUAAAAAUUGCGAACCCAAUUGUACCUUUUCAUAGAUUCACCGGAGUUACCUGUCCAUUUAAACUUUAGGCAGUUUGAUUGUCUCAUUGCACAAAUACAAUAGGUAUUGUUCUCUAUGUAGAUAAAACCCGGUUCAAUCCACCAUUUUCUACAUUAGAAAAUGCCUGUACCAAGUCAGGAAUAUGACAGUUGUUAUCCAUUCGUUUGAUGUGUUUGGACUUUUGAUUUUGCCUUUUGAUUUUUGAUUUUCCUUUUUGAAUUUUCCUCGGAGUUCAGUAUUUUUGUGUUUUUACUUUUUAUUCACUCAGACCUUUAAUUUUCUUGUAAGAGAAAUCUAUCACUCAUUGAUUAAUCUACCUGAGUAAAAGAUUUAUCUGCUAAAUAGAUAGAAACAGGUCUACCAUUAAGAAGUGAUUUUGU
This 2697-nucleotide long non-coding RNA is filed under the name Mytilus galloprovincialis (Mediterranean mussel). Lineage: Eukaryota; Metazoa; Mollusca; Bivalvia; Mytilida; Mytilidae. The record is from RNAcentral.